RNAcentral lists this long non-coding RNA (210 nucleotides) under Mytilus galloprovincialis (Mediterranean mussel). The record is from RNAcentral. Lineage: Eukaryota; Metazoa; Mollusca; Bivalvia; Mytilida; Mytilidae.
GGAUUUACCUUCAUCAGGAACGCUCAAAGCCAAACAUUUGAAAUCCGAAGAUGUAUAAGUACCGAAACCGUUGAAGAGCUGUAUGUCAAAAAUACCUAAAAAUAAAUAGCCAAAUUCAUCUAAAGCCAACUUUGCCUGAGGGAGUUGAAACCUUAGUUUCUUAAUAAUUUAUAAAUUUAUAAACGGACAAUUUUAGUAAAGUUUGUUUAA